UGAAGACCUCAGUCCAGUCAACAAUGAAGAGUCCAGUUUAGAAGACAGCACUGUUACUCUGUCCUACAAAUACUCCAAACAAGCAACUGGUAGUGAUGAGUUUUACUGGUAUCGACAAUAUCCAGGAAAACCACCAGAGUUCCUCAUCUUUCACGUGGGAACACAACGUGCAAAAAACUCCAGACUGACUGUGAAAGUGAGUGAGGAUCAAACCCAAAUGGAUCUGCAGAUCUCCUCUGCUGCAGUGACUGACUCUGCUCUGUACUACUGUGCUGUGAGGCCCACAGUGACAGCAAACCCACAGUCUCUGUACAAAAACACAAGCUGACACACUGACGAGCUGCUGGAAGCCUUUUUUCCACACUGUUCCACUCAACUUUUUACCUCCACUAGAGGGCCACAUUAUCAAGCAGGCGCUGCACAACUUCUGCACUGUGUUCAACCAUCUGUCAAUAAUAACUGCUGCUGUGAAGACAACCAUUCUCACUCUGAAUGCUGAACAUCAGCUACUUUCUCCUCUUCAUUUCAGCCUCAUUGUACACAUGGAACAUUGGCUGUGGAUUAUUCUUGCUGCUCUUUGCUUUGAGUGUAAAGGAGAAGACAGAGUGAUCCAGCCAACAGCAGAUGUCAUUGCGACUGAAGGAGGCACAGUUUCACUGGACUGUACAUUUGAGACCAGUGACCCAGGUCCAACUUUGUUCUGGUACAAACAGGAUGGAAACAACAGCCCCAAAUUCAUACUGAGUCGCGUUAAACGGGAUCAAGGGAACACACCAGACGAGUCCAAGGAGAGAUUUUCUUCCACAGUGAAUUCCUCCUUAAAAUCAGUUCCUCUGAAGAUCCAGAAGCUUCAGCUGUCUGACUCUGCUGUGUACUACUGUGCUCUGCAGCCCACAGUGACAGGAAACAGCAAAACUCUGCACAAAAACCUCUGCAGCAAACACAACACAAUACUCCACAACGUCCACUAG
Molecule: non-coding RNA, 971 nt
Organism: Chelmon rostratus (copperband butterflyfish)
Lineage: Eukaryota; Metazoa; Chordata; Actinopteri; Chaetodontiformes; Chaetodontidae
Source: the annotation of a RefSeq genome assembly